This 74-nucleotide transfer RNA is filed under the name Candidatus Levybacteria bacterium RIFCSPLOWO2_12_FULL_37_14. RNAcentral describes it as "tRNA-Gly". It matches the Rfam family "tRNA". From Rfam's summary of the family: Transfer RNA (tRNA) molecules are approximately 80 nucleotides in length. Their secondary structure includes four short double-helical elements and three loops (D, anti-codon, and T loops). Lineage: Bacteria; Candidatus Levyibacteriota. RNAcentral also lists the same sequence under 3 other names. The record is from RNAcentral.
GCGGGUGUAGCACAAUGGCAGUGCGCUUGCUUCCCAAGCAAGAUACACGGGUUCGAUUCCCGUUACUCGCUCCG